AGCGACCGAGAAACAUGCAAAGACAGUAUCUGUAUUGAAUGCUAUGUGCCAGGGAAACGUAUUUACUCAUUCGAUCCUUACAACAACCCACUAUGGGCGUCCCUAUUAUUAUCACGUCCAUUUUACACAUGAAAAAACUGAGGCACAUAGGAGUUAAUUAUGGUGCCCAGAUCUAAGCAACUUUUGAACUUCACUCCCAACAUGUACUAUGAAAGAAGCAAGGGGCACUUGGGUGGCUCAGCCGGUUAAGCGUCCGACUCUUAGUUUGGGCUCAGGUCAUGAUCUCAGGGUCAUGGGAUUGAGCCACCAGUGCGGCUCUGUGCUCAGUGGGGAGUCUGCUUGAGAUUCUCUCUCUCUCUGCCCUUCCUCCCGCUUGCAUGUGCUCUCUCUCUCUCUCAAAUAAAUAAAUCUUUAAUCAGAAAGGAAGGAAGGAAGGAUGGAAGGAAGAAAAAGAAAGAAAGGUAAGAGAUACCUCUAGUGCGAGUGCUUCAUGGUAGCCCAUGGACCAUAUCCCUUAGAUGAUGCUUACACCAUUCUGAAGACUGGCCAGUUUCUUGAGAACAAAGCUUACGUGAUGGAUACUGCUUAAUGCUUUGUCCUUGUUGAGGACAGCACAGACGUACAGACCUCUAAUAAAGGCAAGGAGCUCUAGCUCUAGCCGGUAACUGAGAGCCAGGUUGUCAAACCCCAUCAAUUUACCAACGAGGAAACAGAAUCCAACAGGUUUAACAGAUUUGGUUGGGCCUCCUGGCAUCUCCCGACAACGUGUUCAGUGAUCUGAAGGUGUCAGCCAUUCACCUCCUCUUUCCCACCUUUCUUCAUAUAACCCAUUCCCAAAUUGCUUGAUCCUCAACCUCAAGGUGUGUGGCACAUCGAUAGCCUGGUUUCUGCCCCCGUGUCAACCUGGCUCCUCAUGAUCUCACACUUGAAUGACACGGUGACCUUACCUGGCCCACCUGCCUCAGCCGCCCACCCGGCUCCUGUCCGCAGCUCACAGUCACACACGCUUGUCUGCUCAUCUUCCUCGAAGCCUGGUUCUGAUCUCGACACAAGCCUGGGGCACAAAGCCCUGGAUUCGAAUUCCAGGUGAGAAAACUGCAGCAAAGAGACUUGUCUGGUUCUAUCAUGAACUUGUGACGGAGCCACAGCUGGAAUUCAAGGGCUGUCCUCUUUCCACUUUCUUCAACAUCCACUUUGUCCUCUGGACUUUGAAAUUAUUAAUUUUGGGGCUUUUGGAUGGCUCAGUCAGUUAAGCGUGCCUUCGGCUCAGAUCAUGAUCUCCGGGUCCUGGGAUCAAGCCCCACUUCUCCCUCUGCCCCUCCCUACUGCUCACUCUCUCUCUCUCUCUCUUUCUCUCUCAAAUAAAUAAAUAAAAUCUUUAAAAAAAU
Molecule: long non-coding RNA, 1388 nt
Filed under: Ursus maritimus (polar bear)
Lineage: Eukaryota; Metazoa; Chordata; Mammalia; Carnivora; Ursidae
Description: lncRNA (ENSUMAG00000025375.1)
Source: RNAcentral